RNAcentral lists this ribosomal RNA (468 nucleotides) under uncultured bacterium. Its description in RNAcentral is "partial 16S ribosomal RNA". It matches the Rfam family "Bacterial small subunit ribosomal RNA", at positions 28 to 507 of the family's 1533-position model. The record is from RNAcentral.
GACGAACGCUGGCGGCGUGCUUAACACAUGCAAGUCGAACGGAAAGGCCCUGCUUUUGUGGGGUGCUCGAGUGGCGAACGGGUGAGUAACACGUGAGUAACCUGCCCUUGACUUUGGGAUAACUUCAGGAAACUGGGGCUAAUACCGGAUAGGAGCUCCUGCUGCAUGGUGGGGGUUGGAAAGUUUCGGCGGUUGGGGAUGGACUCGCGGCUUAUCAGCUUGUUGGUGGGGUAGUGGCUUACCAAGGCUUUGACGGGUAGCCGGCCUGAGAGGGUGACCGGCCACAUUGGGACUGAGAUACGGCCCAGACUCCUACGGGAGGCAGCAGUGGGGAAUAUUGCACAAUGGGCGGAAGCCUGAUGCAGCAACGCCGCGUGCGGGAAGACGGCCUUCGGGUUGUAAACCGCUUUCGCCUGUGACGAAGCGUGAGUGACGGUAAUGUGUAAAGAAGCACCGGCUAACUACGUG